GGUUAAGUUAGAAAGGGCGCACGGUGGAUGCCUUGGCACUAGGAGCCGAAGAAGGACGGGACUAACACCGAUAUGCUUUGGGGAGCUGUACGUAAGCGUUGAUCCAGAGAUUUCCGAAUGGGGGAACCCACUAUCUUUAGUCGGAUAGUAUCCUUACGUGAAUACAUAGCGUGAGGAAGGCAGACCCAGGGAACUGAAACAUCUAAGUACCUGGAGGAAGAGAAAGAAAAAUCGAUUUCCUGAGUAGCGGCGAGCGAAACGGAAAGAGCCCAAACCAAGAAGCUUGCUUCUUGGGGUUGUAGGACACUCUAUACGGAGUUACAAAAGAAAGUUAUAAAUGAAGCGGUCUGGAAAGGCCCGCCAAAGACGGUAACAGCCCGGUAGUUGAAAUGGCUUUCCCUCCAGAGUGGAUCCUGAGUACGGCGGAACACGUGAAAUUCCGUCGGAAUCCGGGAGGACCAUCUCCCAAGGCUAAAUACUCCCUAGUGACCGAUAGUGAACCAGUACCGUGAGGGAAAGGUGAAAAGCACCCCGGAAGGGGAGUGAAACAGUUCCUGAAACCGUGUGCCUACAAGUAGUUAGAGCCCGUUAAUGGGUGAUAGCGUGCCUUUUGUAGAAUGAACCGGCGAGUUACGAUUUGUUGCAAGGUUAAGCGGAAAAAGCGGAGCCGUAGCGAAAGCGAGUCUGAAUAGGGCGCAUAAGUAACAGGUCGUAGACCCGAAACCAGGUGAUCUACCCAUGUCCAGGAUGAAGGUAAGGUAAUACUUACUGGAGGUCCGAACCCACGCACGUUGAAAAGUGCGGGGAUGAGGUGUGGGUAGCGGAGAAAUUCCAAUCGAACUUGGAGAUAGCUGGUUCUCUCCGAAAUAGCUUUAGGGCUAGCCUCGAGGUAAAGAGUCAUGGAGGUAGAGCACUGUUUGGACUAGGGGCCCUUCUCGGGUUACCGAAUUCAGAUAAACUCCGAAUGCCAUGUACUUAUACUCGGGAGUCAGACUGCGAGUGAUAAGAUCCGUAGUCGAAAGGGAAACAGCCCAGACCACCAGUUAAGGUCCCCAAAUAUAUGUUAAGUGGAAAAGGAUGUGGGGUUGCUUAGACAACCAGGAUGUUGGCUUAGAAGCAGCCACCAUUGAAAGA
This 1134-nucleotide ribosomal RNA is filed under the name Listeria monocytogenes. RNAcentral's name for it is "partial 23S ribosomal RNA". It matches the Rfam family "Bacterial large subunit ribosomal RNA", at positions 1 to 1129 of the family's 2925-position model. The record is from RNAcentral. Lineage: Bacteria; Bacillati; Bacillota; Bacilli; Caryophanales; Listeriaceae.